This 78-nucleotide transfer RNA is filed under the name Amborella trichopoda. Its description in RNAcentral is "tRNA AMTR_s03327t00273350". The record is from RNAcentral. Lineage: Eukaryota; Viridiplantae; Streptophyta; Magnoliopsida; Amborellales; Amborellaceae.
UAGUACUUGUACUACUGGUAGUACUUGUACUACUACGAGUAGUACUAGUAGUACUCGUACUACUACGAGUAGUACUAG